RNAcentral lists this long non-coding RNA (203 nucleotides) under Lathyrus oleraceus (garden pea). Its description in RNAcentral is "Pisum sativum (pea) long non-coding RNA (PSAT_LNC010520)". The record is from RNAcentral. Lineage: Eukaryota; Viridiplantae; Streptophyta; Magnoliopsida; Fabales; Fabaceae.
UUUUUUUCCUCAUUCUAACCCAAGCCAAAACUUUUUGUGCAAACAAUAACUUUUGUUUUCAACAUUAGAAACCUAAGCCUUAUGCUUUUGAUUUUCAAACUUAUUUUUCAUAACACUUAUUUUGAAUUGAACCUUUUAAUCCACUUUAACCCUAUUUUUGUAAAUACUUUUAAUUGGUAAAUAUAACCCAUUCAAAUACUUUU